GAUGAAAAGCACUUUGGAAAGAGAGUCAAACAGUACGUGAAAUUGUUGAAAGGGAAGCGCUUGCAACCAGACUUGCCCGCGGGUGAUCAGCCGGUAUUCUUACCGGUGCACUCGCCCGUGGUCAGGCCAGCAUCGGUUUGGGCGGCUGGAUAAAGUCCACCGGAAUGUAGCUCCUCUCGGGGAGUGUUAUAGCCGGAGGUGCCAUGCAGCCCGCCCGGACCGAGGACCGCGCUUUGGCUAGGAUGCUGGCGUAAUGGUUGUAAGCGACCCGUCUUGAAACACGGACCAAGGAGUCUAACAUCUAUGCGAGUGUUUGGGUGUCAAACCCAUGCGCGUAAUGAAAGUGAACGGAGGUGGGAACCCUUAAGGGUGCACCAUCGACCGAUCCUGAUGUCUUCGGAUGGAUUUGAGUAAGAGCAUAGCUGUUGGGACCCGAAAGAUGGUGAACUAUGCCUGAAUAGGGUGAAGCCAGAGGAAACUCUGGUGGAGGCUCGCAGCGGUUCUGACGUGCAAAUCGAUCGUCAAAUUUGGGUAUAGGGGCGAAAGACUAAUCGAACCAUCUGCUACUAGAUGGCACACGGGCCCAUGUGGCCCGGUAGUCCCCGUGAGGUGGGGGCGACAUCGUCGGUCUUUUUGGGGCUACCCGGAGUGAGCUUCGGGCUCAUCCUCCGACUAAGUGGCGGUGGCCGUGGCUCCGAGCACGGUUAGGAU
RNAcentral lists this ribosomal RNA (711 nucleotides) under Acarospora strigata. Its description in RNAcentral is "partial large subunit ribosomal RNA". It matches the Rfam family "Eukaryotic large subunit ribosomal RNA", at positions 363 to 1416 of the family's 3401-position model. Lineage: Eukaryota; Fungi; Ascomycota; Lecanoromycetes; Acarosporales; Acarosporaceae. The record is from RNAcentral.